Molecule: ribosomal RNA, 230 nt
Filed under: uncultured bacterium
Lineage: Bacteria
Description: partial 16S ribosomal RNA
Rfam family: Bacterial small subunit ribosomal RNA
Source: RNAcentral
UAAGCGCGCGUAGGUGGUUUGUUAAGUUGGAUGUGAAAUCCCCGGGCUCAACCUGGGAACUGCAUUCAAAACUGACUGACUAGAGUAUGGUAGAGGGUGGUGGAAUUUCCUGUGUAGCGGUGAAAUGCGUAGAUAUAGGAAGGAACACCAGUGGCGAAGGCGACCACCUGGACUGAUACUGACACUGAGGUGCGAAAGCGUGGGGAGCAAACAGGAUUAGAUACCCGAGU